This 253-nucleotide ribosomal RNA is filed under the name uncultured bacterium. Its description in RNAcentral is "partial 16S ribosomal RNA". It matches the Rfam family "Bacterial small subunit ribosomal RNA", at positions 524 to 776 of the family's 1533-position model. The record is from RNAcentral.
UACGAGGGGGGCAAGCGUUGUCCGGAAUUAUUGGGCGUAAAGAGCUUGUAGGUGGCUCGUUGCGUCGGGAGUGAAAACCUGCGGCUUAACCGCAGGCCUGCUUCCGAUACGGGCGAGCUAGAGUUCGGCAGGGGAGACUGGAAUUCCUGGUGUAGCGGUGGAAUGCGCAGAUAUCAGGAGGAACACCGGUGGCGAAGGCGGGUCUCUGGGCCGAUACUGACACUGAGAAGCGAAAGCGUGGGGAGCGAACAGG